GCUGUCUAAUCUCUUUUAGGAGUACCAGAGA
This 31-nucleotide non-coding RNA is filed under the name Mus musculus (house mouse). Lineage: Eukaryota; Metazoa; Chordata; Mammalia; Rodentia; Muridae. The record is from RNAcentral.